This 169-nucleotide ribosomal RNA is filed under the name Lutjanus ehrenbergii (blackspot snapper). RNAcentral's name for it is "partial 12S rRNA". The record is from RNAcentral. Lineage: Eukaryota; Metazoa; Chordata; Actinopteri; Lutjaniformes; Lutjanidae.
CACCGCGGUUAUACGAGAGACCCAAGUUGUUAGACACCGGCGUAAAGAGUGGUUAAGAUUUGUCCAAGACUAAAGCCGAACGCCCUCAGAGCUGUUAUACGCACCCGAAGGUAAGAAGCCCAACCACGAAAGUGACUUUAUAUUAUCCGAACCCACGAAAGCUAUGACA